This 501-nucleotide ribosomal RNA is filed under the name uncultured bacterium. RNAcentral describes it as "partial 16S ribosomal RNA". It matches the Rfam family "Bacterial small subunit ribosomal RNA", at positions 30 to 523 of the family's 1533-position model. The record is from RNAcentral.
AUUGAACGCUGGCGGCAGGCUUAACACAUGCAAGUCGAGCGGGGAAGGGUAGCUUGCUACCUAACCUAGCGGCGGACGGGUGAGUAAUGCUUAGGAAUCUGCCAUUUAGUGGGGGACAACAUUCCGAAAGGAAUGCUAAUACCGCAUACGUCCUACGGGAGAAAGCAGGGGAUCUUCGGACCUUGCGCUAAAUGAUGAGCCUAAGUCGGAUUAGCUAGUUGGUGGGGUAAAGGCCUACCAAGGCGACGAUCUGUAGCGGGUCUGAGAGGAUGAUCCGCCAACCUGGGACUGAGACACGGCCCAGACUCCUACGGGAGGCAGCAGUGGGGAAUAUUGGACAAUGGGCGGAAGCCUGAUCCAGCCAUGCCGCGUGUGUGAAGAAGGCCUUAUGGUUGUAAAGCACUUUAAGCGAGGAGGAGGCUACUAGUAUUAAUACUAUUGGAUAGUGGACGUUACUCGCAGAAUAAGCACCGGCUAACUCUGUGCCAGCCGCCGCAGUAA